This 82-nucleotide transfer RNA is filed under the name Kiritimatiellota bacterium. RNAcentral's name for it is "tRNA-Leu". It matches the Rfam family "tRNA". Rfam says of the family: Transfer RNA (tRNA) molecules are approximately 80 nucleotides in length. Their secondary structure includes four short double-helical elements and three loops (D, anti-codon, and T loops). Further hydrogen bonds mediate the characteristic L-shaped molecular structure. tRNAs have two regions of fundamental functional importance: the anti-codon, which is responsible for specific mRNA codon recognition, and the 3' end, to which the tRNAs corresponding amino acid is attached (by aminoacyl-tRNA synthetases). tRNAs cope with the degeneracy of the genetic code in two manners: having more than one tRNA (with a specific anti-codon) for a particular amino acid; and 'wobble' base-pairing, i.e. permitting non-standard base-pairing at the 3rd anti-codon position. The record is from RNAcentral. Lineage: Bacteria; Pseudomonadati; Kiritimatiellota.
GGGCGAGUGGUGAAAUUGGCAGACACGCAAGACUUAGGAUCUUGUGCCGCAAGGCUUGUGGGUUCAAGUCCCGCCUCGCCCA